UACAGAGGUCCCGAGCGUUGUUCGGAUUUAUUGGGCGUAAAGGGUGCGUAGGCGGCGGAGUAAGUUGGGUGUGAAAUCCCGGGGCUUAACCUCGGAAUUGCAUUCAAUACUGCUUCGCUAGAGUACUGGAGAGGAGGCUGGAAUUUACGGUGUAGCAGUGAAAUGCGUAGAUAUCGUAAGGAAGGCCGGUGGCGAAAGCGAGCCUCUGGACAGUUACUGACGCUGAUGCACGAAGGCCAGGGGAGCAAACGGG
This 253-nucleotide ribosomal RNA is filed under the name uncultured bacterium. RNAcentral describes it as "partial 16S ribosomal RNA". It matches the Rfam family "Bacterial small subunit ribosomal RNA", at positions 524 to 776 of the family's 1533-position model. The record is from RNAcentral.